GUGGGGAAUAUUGGGCAAUGGGCGCAAGCCUGACCCAGCCAUGCCGCGUGGGUGAAGAAGGUCUUCGGAUUGUAAAGCCCUUUCGGCGGGGACGAUGGUGACGGUACCCGCAGAAGAAGCCCCGGCUAACUUCGUGCCAGCAGCCGCGGUAAUACGAAGGGGGCUAGCGUUGCUCGGAUUUACUGGGCGUAAAGGGCGCGUAGGCGGCGGAUCAAGUCAGGCGUGAAAGUCCUGGGCUUAACCUGGGGAUUGCGCUUGAGACUGGUUUGCUUGAGGCCGAGAGAGGGUGGUGGAAUUCCCAGUGUAGAGGUGAAAUUCGUAGAGAUUGGGAAGAACACCGGUGGCGAAGGCGUCCACCUGGCUCGGUCCUGACGCUGAGGCGCGAAAGCGUGGGGAGCAAACAGGAUUAGAAACCCCUGUAGUCC
RNAcentral lists this ribosomal RNA (425 nucleotides) under uncultured bacterium. RNAcentral's name for it is "bacterial SSU rRNA". It matches the Rfam family "Bacterial small subunit ribosomal RNA", at positions 354 to 796 of the family's 1533-position model. The record is from RNAcentral.